GAUGAACGCUGGCGGCGUGCCUAAUACAUGCAAGUCGAACGAGCAUAUCAGUAUCUUGCUGCUCUGACGUUAGCUACGGACGGGUGAGUUACACUUUGAUACCCUACAUAUCAGACUGAGUUAACUUCGUAACGCCGGAGCUAAUACCGGAUAAUAUAUUUAACCGCAUGGUUCAAUAGUGAAUGACGGUUUUGCUGUCACUUAUAUAUGGAUCCGCGCCGAAUGAGCUAGUUGGUAAUGUAACGGGUUACCAAGGCAACGAUGCGUAGCCGACCUGAGAGGGUGAUCGGCCACACGGGAAGUGAGACAGGGUACAGACUCCUAGAGGAGGAAGCAGUAGGGAAUCUUCCGCGAUGGGGGAAAGCGUGACAGAGCAAAGCCGCGGGAGUGAUGAAGGUGCUAGGAUCGGAAAGCUAUGUAAUUAGGGAAGAACAAAUGUGUAAGUAACUAGGCACGUCUUGACGGUACCUAAUCAGAAAGCCACGGCUAACUACGUG
This 497-nucleotide ribosomal RNA is filed under the name uncultured bacterium. RNAcentral's name for it is "partial 16S ribosomal RNA". It matches the Rfam family "Bacterial small subunit ribosomal RNA", at positions 28 to 507 of the family's 1533-position model. The record is from RNAcentral.